Long non-coding RNA from Lagenorhynchus albirostris (white-beaked dolphin), 2071 nucleotides. RefSeq lists it as uncharacterized. NCBI's taxonomy places the organism in Eukaryota, Metazoa, Chordata, Mammalia, Artiodactyla, Delphinidae. The record is from RefSeq and is a predicted model, not a curated record. The transcript has 4 exons.
CCUUCCUAGGGCUUUUCAUUACCUCCUCCUGUGGCCAGAGGUUGAGGUCUCUUCUGUGACAAAGUGAAAUCUGCAGCAAACGCUCAUCUCACACACACACAGCCCUUCCCCAAGCUCCUGUCUCUCUCCCCUGCAUCUCCCCCCGGCACUGCUCCCUCCGUUCUUCCCCUUCUCCACUCUGCUCUAUGCCCCAAGAGGCUGACCUCUACAGACUGUAUCAACGGACAUCCUUGUCCUCGGGCUUCCAGGGUCACCACCUCGGCUGACUGUGUUGCUUGACCAAAGGCCCUGUCCACAUAGUCCACACAAACCUCUCCCUGAGUUCUGCUAACAUCCUUCCUUCCCCUUUCCCCGUCAGGUCAGGGGGAUCUGGAGAUGUCUCACAGAAACGCUAAAUCACCCGUGCAUGGGAGGCUUCUGUGGAUUGGAGCACAAUCUUGCAGGAGUCAGCUCUAAGGCCUUCCCUGCCCUCCUCCAGCAGCGGAGGAAGACGGCGCCUUCUCGUUACCCUGGCAACCGUCAGCGGACCCUGUCACCCCGGCAACUGUCCGAGGCCUCCCGUCAGCCCUCUCCUGGGCCUCUUCGGUCACCCAGACAACUGCUACCCAUUCCGGUUAACCAUCAGCCCUUUCCCCGUCACCCUGGCAACGGUCACCAGACCCACCGCCCCCCCUGGACUCACGGUCCUCAUCCUGCACGCAGGCCUCCUCGCCCCAAACCUUCGCCCCAAGCUGAGGUCCCGGGUUCCCUCCUCCUCUCGCCCAUUUCCCCGGCCCCAGAGGGGCACUGCUCCCACCCUGGCGGGGGGCGGGAUGGGUAGGGCCCUGGGGGUUCCGGCUCUUGUCAGGGCUGUUGGACCGUCCGGUCCUGAAGCUGUGCGCAGCCCUGAGCCUGUCUCCUCACUCUCGCUCUUGCGUGGGACUGUUCAGCCGCUACAGGGAGCUUCUCAAAAUGCAAACCAUGUCCCUCCCCUGCUGAAAACCCUCCCUGGCUUCCCUUGAGAAUCAAAUCCAAACUCUUCGAAGCCCCUGGCGGUCUGGCUGUGGCCUCUUCUUCCACACGCCUCCCCCUCUCGCUCUGCUGCAGCAGGCACUAAUCUCCACGCUGUUACUCCAGUAGCCCAAGCUUAUUCCAGCCUCUGACCUUCCUAUUUACUGCUUCCCACUCCCUGAAAGGUCUGUACCCCAGGUAGGGAAGCCUUUCCUGAGCCCUGUCACACACCUGCAUAGCUCUCUCUGCCUCUUCUCAGUUAAUUCCAGAAUGGGGGCUUUGCCCUUGUUCGCACCCUAUCCCUAGGGCCUAGAACAGCUCCUGACACAUACGAUGAGUGAAAGGAUGUUACGUUGGGGACAAGGGAGGACAGAGCGGGUGACCAGCAGGCAGGCUUUGGCCAGGCAGGCCCAUCCCAGAGAUAAGAGAAUGUAUUUCUGAGGUCUGCUGGGUCCCCAGACUGAUUUAUCACACUGCUGCAAGUCAUGACAGUGUUCCCAGAGGCCAGGAAAACGCUAGGGAGAUAGAAGUUACUGCUGUGACCAGCCUGGGGCUGGGUGGUUCAUCUUCAGCUUGUAUGGCCCUCACUUGGAGGCUGGAGCCAGGAGUCCCCAGAAAGAAUCAGCAGCAACUAUGGUUAAUUUGGAACAGAAGAUUCCGGGAACUGGAGAGACAGGCCUCAGACCCCAGAUGGCUAUUCAGGGAGCUGGUCCCUUCCUGUGCCGAGUCCAGAAUCUCACAUAUCCUAACAGAGCCAAGAGCUGUUUUUCCAGGGAUCUUUCCCAGGCAGUGGCGAGAGAACUUGACCUCAUAAGGCCUGGAGUCAUGACCAGGAGGGAGAUCAUGGGAGCUGCCCAGGGCCUGGCUGGAGAGGAGUCUGGACAUCCACCUGCCUGCCCAUGAUGGUCCUCCCUUGGUGAGCUGUCAGGAGCCAGCCCCCUACUCUUAAGCUAGGAAUACCCUCAUCAGCACUGUCCAACAGAACUUUCUACUCUGAUUCAAUGCAGCCCUUGAAAUAUGGCUAGUGUGACUGAGGAACUGAAUUUUUCAUCGUAUUUAAUUUUAAUUAAUUGGCAUUUAA